This 342-nucleotide ribosomal RNA is filed under the name marine copepod environmental sample. RNAcentral's name for it is "SSU rRNA". It matches the Rfam family "Eukaryotic small subunit ribosomal RNA", at positions 587 to 972 of the family's 1831-position model. Lineage: Eukaryota; Metazoa; Arthropoda; Copepoda. The record is from RNAcentral.
AGCUCCAAUAGCGUAUAUUAAAGUUGUUGUGGUUAAAAAGCUCGUAGUUGGAUCUCAACAGCCUUGAAGCGGUUAACUUUGUAGUUUUACUGCUUUGUAGGCUGUGCUUUUGCUGGAGGUUUAGGGGUGCUCUUGAUCGAGUGUCUCUGGAUGCCAGCAGGUUUACUUUGAAAAAAUUAGAGUGCUCAAAGCAGGCUAAAAUGCCUGAAUAUUCGUGCAUGGAAUAAUAGAAUAGGAUGUCGAUCCUAUUUUGUUGGUUUUCGGGACUCGACAUAAUGAUAAAUAGGGACAGUCGGGGGCAUUUGUAUUCAAACGACAGAGCAUUUGCCAAGAAUGUUUUCA